Non-coding RNA from Mycena epipterygia, 91 nucleotides. Lineage: Eukaryota; Fungi; Basidiomycota; Agaricomycetes; Agaricales; Mycenaceae. The record is from the annotation of a GenBank genome assembly.
GACCUAGUAGCGGAGGGCCCGCGCCUGCUUUCAAUAGCACAUCUUCGGUCAUAGCAGGAACUAAUCCCUGGUUCGACUCCAGGCUAGGUCA